GGGUUGUGAGGUUAAGCGACUAAGCGUACACGGUGGAUGCCCUGGCAGUCAGAGGCGAUGAAGGGCGUGCUAAUCUGCGAUAAGCGCCGGUAAGGUGAUAUGAACCGUUAUAACCGGCGAUACCCGAAUGGGGAAACCCAGUGUGACUCGUCACACUAUCAUUAACUGAAUCCAUAGGUUAAUGAGGCGAACCGGGGGAACUGAAACAUCUAAGUACCCCGAGGAAAAGAAAUCAACCGAGAUUCCCCCAGUAGCGGCGAGCGAACGGGGAGGAGCCCAGAGCCUGAAUCAGCAUGUGUGUUAGUGGAAGCGUCUGGAAAGACGCGCGAUACAGGGUGACAGCCCCGUACACAAAAGCGCAUGUGCUGUGAGCUCGAUGAGUAGGGCGGGACACGUGGUAUCCUGUCUGAAUAUGGGGGGACCAUCCUCCAAGGCUAAAUACUCCUGACUGACCGAUAGUGAACCAGUACCGUGAGGGAAAGGCGAAAAGAACCCCGGCGAGGGGAGUGAAAAAGAACCUGAAACCGUGUACGUACAAGCAGUGGGAGCACCCUUUGGGGUGUGACUGCGUACCUUUUGUAUAAUGGGUCAGCGACUUAUAUUCUGUAGCAAGGUUAACCGUAUAGGGGAGCCGUAGGGAAACCGAGUCUUAACCGGGCGUUAAGUUGCAGGGUAUAGACCCGAAACCCGGUGAUCUAGCCAUGGGCAGGUUGAAGGUUGGGUAACACUAACUGGAGGACCGAACCGACUAAUGUUGAAAAAUUAGCGGAUGACCUGUGGCUGGGGGUGAAAGGCCAAUCAAACCGGGAGAUAGCUGGUUCUCCCCGAAAGCUAUUUAGGUAGCGCCUCGUGAAUUCAUCUCCGGGGGUAGAGCACUGUUUCGGCUAGGGGGCCAUCCCGGCUUACCAACCCGAUGCAAACUGCGAAUACCGGAGAAUGUUAUCACGGGAGACACACGGCGGGUGCUAACGUCCGUCGUGAAGAGGGAAACAACCCAGACCGCCAGCUAAGGUCCCAAAGUCAUGGUUAAGUGGGAAACGAUGUGGGAAGGCCCAGACAGCCAGGAUGUUGGCUUAGAAGCAGCCAUCAUUUAAAGAAAGCGUAAUAGCUCACUGGUCGAGUCGGCCUGCGCGGAAGAUGUAACGGGGCUAAACCAUGCACCGAAGCUGCGGCAGCGAACGUAUCACUUAAAGCGAUUCAGCGGGUUACGAUUGACGGAGCGAAGCGACGUCAAAGCGUAUACAAAGUCGAGUCGGUUUAAGGAUACGUUCGUUGGGUAGGGGAGCGUUCUGUAAGCCUGCGAAGGUGGCCUGUGAGGGUUGCUGGAGGUAUCAGAAGUGCGAAUGCUGACAUAAGUAACGAUAAAGCGGGUGAAAAGCCCGCUCGCCGGAAGACCAAGGGUUCCUGUCCAACGUUAAUCGGGGCAGGGUGAGUCGACCCCUAAGGCGAGGCCGAAAGGCGUAGUCGAUGGGAAACGGGUUAAUAUUCCCGUACUUGGUGUUACUGCGAAGGGGGGACGGAGAAGGCUAUGUUGGCCGGGCGACGGUUGUCCCGGUUUAAGCGUGUAGGUGUGUGUUCCAGGUAAAUCCGGUUCACUUUAACACUGAGGCGUGAUGACGAGGCACUACGGUGCUGAAGCAACAAAUGCCCUGCUUCCAGGAAAAGCCUCUAAGCAUCAGGUAACAUCAAAUCGUACCCCAAACCGACACAGGUGGUCAGGUAGAGAAUACCAAGGCGCUUGAGAGAACUCGGGUGAAGGAACUAGGCAAAAUGGUGCCGUAACUUCGGGAGAAGGCACGCUGACACGUAGGUGAAGUGAUUUACUCAUGGAGCUGAAGUCAGUCGAAGAUACCAGCUGGCUGCAACUGUUUAUUAAAAACACAGCACUGUGCAAACACGAAAGUGGACGUAUACGGUGUGACGCCUGCCCGGUGCCGGAAGGUUAAUUGAUGGGGUCAGCGCAAGCGAAGCUCCUGAUCGAAGCCCCGGUAAACGGCGGCCGUAACUAUAACGGUCCUAAGGUAGCGAAAUUCCUUGUCGGGUAAGUUCCGACCUGCACGAAUGGCGUAAUGAUGGCCAGGCUGUCUCCACCCGAGACUCAGUGAAAUUGAACUCGCUGUGAAGAUGCAGUGUACCCGCGGCAAGACGGAAAGACCCCGUGAACCUUUACUAUAGCUUGACACUGAACAUUGAGCCUUGAUGUGUAGGAUAGGUGGGAGGCUUUGAAGCGUGGACGCCAGUCUGCGUGGAGCCGACCUUGAAAUACCACCCUUUAAUGUUUGAUGUUCUAACGUGGACCCGUAAUCCGGGUUGCGGACAGUGUCUGGUGGGUAGUUUGACUGGGGCGGUCUCCUCCUAAAGAGUAACGGAGGAGCACGAAGGUUGGCUAAUCCUGGUCGGACAUCAGGAGGUUAGUGCAAUGGCAUAAGCCAGCUUGACUGCGAGCGUGACGGCGCGAGCAGGUGCGAAAGCAGGUCAUAGUGAUCCGGUGGUUCUGAAUGGAAGGGCCAUCGCUCAACGGAUAAAAGGUACUCCGGGGAUAACAGGCUGAUACCGCCCAAGAGUUCAUAUCGACGGCGGUGUUUGGCACCUCGAUGUCGGCUCAUCACAUCCUGGGGCUGAAGUAGGUCCCAAGGGUAUGGCUGUUCGCCAUUUAAAGUGGUACGCGAGCUGGGUUUAGAACGUCGUGAGACAGUUCGGUCCCUAUCUGCCGUGGGCGCUGGAGAACUGAGGGGGGCUGCUCCUAGUACGAGAGGACCGGAGUGGACGCAUCACUGGUGUUCGGGUUGUCAUGCCAAUGGCACUGCCCGGUAGCUAAAUGCGGAAGAGAUAAGUGCUGAAAGCAUCUAAGCACGAAACUUGCCCCGAGAUGAGUUCUCCCUGAGACUUAGAGUCUCCUGAAGGAACGUUGAAGACGACGACGUUGAUAGGCCGGGUGUGUAAGCGCAGCGAUGCGUUGAGCUAACCGGUACUAAUGAACCGUGAGGCUUAACCUUACAACGCCGAAG
Molecule: ribosomal RNA, 3008 nt
Filed under: Salmonella enterica subsp. enterica serovar Thompson str. RM6836
Lineage: Bacteria; Pseudomonadati; Pseudomonadota; Gammaproteobacteria; Enterobacterales; Enterobacteriaceae
Description: bacterial LSU rRNA
Rfam family: Bacterial large subunit ribosomal RNA
Source: RNAcentral